GGGAAGGAAGGAAAGAGGGAGGGAAGAGGGCGGGCGCUAUUCCCCGCCCCGUCUCCGGGCGCCGCCGCUCUCCUUGAAGCUGCAGUUCCCCCACCUGCCCCCGCAGCGGGUCCUGUCCCCUGGCCGGGACGAGGGGAGUCCUUUAGGGGCUCUGGGUGACCUGUGCUGCAGCCAGAUGGCAGCGCAGCCCCUCCGGCCCGGGGGGUGUCCAGGGAGUCCCGCCGGCCCCGGUGCUGAGGGAGCGGGGCGGGUGGGGAGGGGGUCGCUCCUCGAGGGAGCUUCGGCUCCUGGCAGGCAGCACGGACGUGGGUCGCCUGUCGUGUGCACUGGGUUUAGGAUGCAGAAGACGGUCCGGUACCAUUUUGAUGAUGAACCCCAGAGACACGGUCUGGCCUUUCACUCGAUCCCUAGGCAAAAAAAAAUAAAAAUUUAAGGCUAGCUUUAGCUGUGACCUUUUUCCUUCCAUAUGAGCAGUGAUUAACUACUAAGGUUUCUUUCAUCCAUGCUAAGACACUCCAAAUUUAGUUCUUACAAAUCUUGUAAUUACGGCGUGUUGCUAACCACUUAAUGAUGAAGAUCUCUGUUCUCAGAUUUUUGGCGAUUUGUUAGGGUUUGGGGUUUUUUUUCCCUCAGCAACUGAGUCGGCUGUUUCUGCUCACAGCCUUGGAUCAGUAACUCCAGAGCCAUUUCUUAGCAUAAUCUGUUCAGGAGAAUGCUCUGCUUCCUAUCUGACUGAUUUUUUUUUUUUUUCCUUGAUCCAGCUGAUGUGCUUCCACAGCUACUGCUCUAGAAGGUUUAAAGCCACUGUGCUCCUUCCUUUUCCCAAGAUAAAAAUGGCAAUGUUUUGGCUUGAUUCAUCUUGGUCUUCCAGGCAAGAUUUCUGUCUUGUUAAGCAAGAGCUUGAUUAGGUGUUUUUUUUGUUUUUUUUUAUUUUUUAUUUUUUUAAGACUAAUGGAAGAUUAGCAUUUCUAGGAAGAGAGGGAUAGAACUGCAUUUCCAUUGCAAAUUGGUAUGCAUUCUUAUGCCUUCAAGGAGCUUAUUUUGGCUUUCCUGUCGUGCUGCACCUGUGACCUGUGCCAUCAUUUCUUAGGCUUUGGGUUGAAAUCAAGGACACUUCCUUUCAGCCCAGUUUACCAUUCAAGGCCAUUAAAGUAUCUCCAAUCUUAAGGAUCCUGGGAGAGCUGGGAAGGAAUAUUUGGAGCUGGUGCAGACCAAAAUACAGCAACUUUGAAAGUAACUUCUUUUUGCUAUGAUUAUUUGUCACUGUGGAUCAUGCUGCUGGUGGUGAUAGUGCCUCAGCUCAUGUGCACCUGGUGACUCGAGCUGCUUUUAUCUUUCCAGAAGUUCAGUAUUAGAGCUCAAGCAGUGGUGCUGGGUCUCAUAACCUGCAGCAAGGCUGUUCUGGUACAGGUUCUACUGUUUAAUCUGAAUCCCUCCUGUCAGAGGGAGAAAACCAGCAGGUGCCACAGAGGCCACAUUGCUGGGUUACCCUGGAAUCCAGCUGCAUGCCAGUCCCUGUUACACAGUAAAACAUUUGGACUGUCAGAGAGGCUUGGUAAUUUUCUCUCCACAGUGGUAUUUUGGGACACUUUCUGUCCCCUCAGGUCCCCAAGAAAGUUAAAGGUAUCUUCUGCAGCUCCUGAAGUCAGCAAGACUGGCUGCUGGAAGAGUAAUAAUUGUCUCCCUAAGGUAGUGGGAUUCAAGUUCUAGGCUACAGUGCUGCUUUAGCAAAUCAUGCCUUGGGAUUGGUAAUUUCGUUCGGGAGUAAUGUCGAUAGAGUGUAUGAUGAUGGCCUUUAAUUGUCUUCCUUCUAAAUUUCUGAGAUAAGCACAUUGUUCAGACAUGCCAUAUUCUAUUUGUAUGUUGUUGAUAUUUCAUUGACCAUCCCAAUAUAACCAUAACUUUGAUGUGUAAAACAUGCAUCUUCUCAGGGAACAUCUGAAAACCAGGAAACUUUUGGAGUGGUUCCUUCUCCAAAGUGCUGGAAAAGAGGCAUUUUAGAGUCCUUGCCAUACCAAGAAAAUGUCAUGGUGGAAGGCAGCCUGGGCCUUGAAGACUUUGCAUAAAUCCUGAAAGGCCACUUGGAAAUUUUAUGUUUUGUUGCCAGUAAGUGAAGAGAGAUCAGGGAAAAAGCCAUGUUCAUUCAUGGUGGUAGAACCAGUUAUAAACCAGCAUGGAUUCUGAAUCAGCUUUGAAUACUGCAAGCUGUAGGCAUGCUGUAACUCUCUUGCCAAUGCAAGAGGAAAGUGAGAUUGAAGAAGCUGGCCCCACUCUACCCCUAGUGCCCUCAGCCCUGGUAAUCAUCACUGAAGCAAGAAUCCCACAGGCAAAAUUUAUACACAGUUCCAGUGGGAUUUAUACAGGGAAACUAAUUUACUGUACUUUCCUUUAUGCUUUUUGCUGUUACCUUUGAGGCCAUUUGGAGCAUCCAGUCCUUCCUGCCCCUAUGCAUCUUACAUUAGAUCCAUAUUAGAUCCGCUAUAGGGCAGAAUCACGGCUGGGUGUGUGUUGUCUGUGGUAGGCAUUGGUACUUUGCUGCUGGGAGCAGGCCAAUUUGAUUAAUAUUGAGAUUCUUUCAAAGACAGGUAAUCAACCUAAGCCCUAAGUGUGCAUCAGCCUCUUGAUGUGAGAGUCAUAAUGGCUGAUACUGCCAUCAGAGCUGCAUUUAUAAAUCUGUGUGGGAGACUGGCUGCAAAGGAACAAACCCCAGUGAUAUUAGUGCUUAUGCUCGUUACUGGCAGAGCUGACACAUCUGAGCAGGGAGGCCGAGUGAGGCUGCCACUGAAAACAGAUACAUCUUUCUUUUACUUUUUUUUUUUUUUAAUAUGGUGGGCAAAGUGACACCCCAUGCACAGUCCAAAUGAGCCAGUUCUACCUUUUCUCCUGUGUCAAGAUGAAUGAUUAGAGCAAGCUUCUGGCUGGAGGAAUACUCUUGCUGUCCUCAUGAUGCAAAAGAUUCCACCUGCUACUAUACAGGAAAAGUUACAAUAUGUUCUUCUUGACAUUUCUUCUUAGAUAUGGCUUAUCUACUUAGAUACAACUCUCCUGAGCUGCCAAGGGAAAAAAAGCCAAAGCUACUAAUUUCUCCUGACAAGUGUUUUCACUCUUUAUUUUUUUCAAUGACUGGUUGUGCUGUGUCCUGGACAUCGGCGGCAGCUAAUAAAUAACUCCUGAUGCCAGAAUAACUCCUGAUUCCAAAGGUUGACAGAUAUCAUUUGAGCUCUCAUUUCAGAGGUAAAUGACAGCCCUUUAACCCAAUUAUAGUCCAGUGUGGCAUAAUUGGACUCAUUUGUUAUCCUUUACCAACUGGCUACUGCAGUUAAUUUAUGAAAAAUGGGACAGUAUUCCUUCUUCAAGGGGUAUUAGAGUCUACUAUGCUUUAUUUUAUACAUUGUUUAGAACACUCCAGACUGUUUCUACCUUAGCACAAAUUUUUCCUUUUCUGCAUCUGCCCAUUGUUUCCCAACUGCCUUUUAUUAUGCUGAAAUCUAUUGCUUUUGUGUUAAUAUGUUUUACAGUAGUUUUCACUGAGACAUUUGAAGUUUUUACUUUUGUCACAGUGUCCCUCUUAUUGAUACAGCUAAUUUUACUAUAAUGUCAACUACUUUGUAGGUAUAUAACUGUAAUUGUAACUGUCAUCUAAAUCUGUUCCUUAUUGCACUGCUAGCAAUGCAGCAGACCACUGCCACUAGCAUCAAACUUUCCUGUAAUUCUGACUCUGUAGUGAAUUCCUUCCCAACUGGCAAUAAGAAAGUCUUACACAGCUCUUUCUCUGCUUGAGUUCUCUGUUUUCUGGAUUGUGAAAUUAUCCUUUGCAUAAUUCAAGAACCACUUCAUGAUCUAUGUUUGGCAGAAUUUGUUACCCAACAGAUGUCUGGACAGUUAAUGACCUCUGUAAGUACAGCCCUGUGAUUUCUUGCUACUGAUGGUCCAAGAAUUUUAAUCUAUUCUGCUACAAGUCAGCUCCUGAGCAGCAUGUCACCUCUUAUUAUAAAACAAAAGCAUAAAAUGUGUAUAUCUUUUCAGAAUUGUUAUGCCUAGUCAGAACUGGUAUUUUUCCCUCAUUUUCUUCUGAGUCUUUGCUCAUAUAUGUGUAGAUGCAAUGCACAAAUGCACAUAGCUCCGUAUUUUUCCUUGGCCAAAAUCAAAGAACAUGAAUGAAAAACCCUGAAAUUAAUCAAAAUAUCAUUUCAGAGAAAAAGUACUCCCAGAAAUAAAAGUCAGAACUCCCACUGCACACCUUUAAGUUGGGGAAAGGGCAGAUAAGUAAAAAGGUCUGUGGUAGCAAAGCCUUUUUGACUGUCACUUUUACACAUAUGGCAGAUGUAGUCUUACAAGAGGAUUUGAAGGCACUAGAGUGAUGUGUUCACAGUAUGAAAUCAUGCUGCAGCUGCACAACCAUUCCUUCUUUCCUCUUCCCCAUUCAGAUCAGGUUCUAGCCUACCCCUGCAUAGGAAAGUUGUCCUAGUUUCUCUUCUGGAUUGUUUUUUUUUCUGUUCAGUUUUCGGCACUUGUGAGAGGAAAAUUGUCAGGCAGGAUUGUAUCAAAGAGGAGGUAAGACAGUCCCUAACAUCUGGCACUCAUGUCCCAGUGGAGGGAGUCAAGGAAUUGAAUGUUUAUUGAUACGGGUCCAGUCAGACAUCCCUGUGGAGAUAUUCUGCAAUCCAGGUGCUGAAGUCCCUAGAACAUAAAUCUGCACAGUGAAGUGCUUGAGAGAAUGGCUUGUACUUCAGUGUGUGUGCCACUGUGAAGGAGAGAAAUUAGGCUGCCUGCAUAAAAGUGCUCCUCUAGCAGUCAGGGUCCUGACAGCUGCCUGGAACUCUCACCACAGAGCUCCUGAAGUGCCAGGAAGUUUGCUAGGUGCCUCACUGGUACCUGUUUCUGCAGUGAAAGGGUUGUUGUGGCCGAACUGUUGGAUUGGAAGGUACCAAAACCUGGAGAAAGUUUUGGCAGCUGGAUCUACACUGGUAAGGUUCGGAAGCCAAUGCUCUUGCAUUUUAUGCAGAGCUCUUGCAAUUGAUGUUACUUGGCAAUUUUGGCAUGAAACUCCUGGCAACCUCUCAGAUGGUACGUGGAUCUGGCUUGGAGGACAGCAUGGAGCAGGACUCAUUUCCUCAAAAGCAACUUUACGUCAUCACUUUCACGUGAAGCAGAAAAUGUAGUUCUUCAGUGCAAGCUGGAACACACAGUUUGGCCUCAGAACCCAAAGAACAAUGUCUGGUCUGUUUUAUGAGCUAGAGAGCGGGAGCAGCUGAACUGACUCACGGGUUUUCUUUGGAGUUUCCUAGUGCACUUUCCCAUUUGGAGUUUCCUAGUGCACUUUCAGAGGUACAAGCUGUACACUCAUCAGUUCCUCAGUCUUCACAGAAGUAUUUCUACUAUAUUGUCAGAUGAUAUUUUUAUACAAGGAGGUCACUGAGUUACAGAUGAGGACAUGCCUGAAUAAUUGGUUUUGCCCUCCGAACACAUGUGGCCUCUUGUCUCUAGAGCAUUUCCUAUUUUACAAUAAAGAGUAUUUCUCCCACUUUCAUGAAUUUCACAUUUGGUGGAUGUCCUAUGGUGUCCAGUGCUUUUACACCCACUCUUGUCCCAAAGGAAGUCUCCCAAAGACAGCUAUACUUGACUCAGAUAUGGUUCUCUCAUCAAAAUCAAAGGGCACUCUGUAGAUUGUGAUGAUAAACAUAUGGGCUUACUACAGUGCAAGAUGUUCAAAGCAAUCAGACAUUCUGGCUGCAAUUUAUCUAGAAUAAAAAUUAUCAGGAAUGGCCAGGAGGUAAUCUGAACCAAAUGCUCUAUAACACCAUCCGUGAUAAUGUCCCAUCUAAAUGUGGCAUUACUGGGAUGUCUAUACGUGCUCACAGGUUGAGGAACCUCUUGCCACAGUGUUGGCCAGAAAUGGUGAUUUGCCUGCUGAAGAAAAGGUGGCACAUAACAUUGGCGCAGAGUAAGACAUGCAAAAGUUUGAUUAGACAAUCUGGAUUCUUUUUUAACUCCAAACAGCCCUGCAGCAGUGAGUCAUAAGUCCCUGAAUACACUGAAACUUCUGCAAUUUUGCUCUCAAGCUGCUUCUUGGGACUUCGCAGAAAUCAUUUUCUACAGGAGGGAUGAGUUCAGUUGCCCUGCUUUAGGAACCACAAGCUUUUAAAGCAAUCUUUUGUCACAGGUCUGAGUUGACAAAACUGGCAGUUUAGUGGCAGUUCCACCUAUUUUUUAAGGAUUCAGAUACUUUGGACAAUAUGGAGCUUUCCAUGUAAUUGCAGUAAGGGGUAAAUAUGGCUUGACUGCAAGAAAACCGCCCAGCUCCAAAAAUUUUCUGUUGAAAAGUAUGUAUUAAAAUCAUGCCAGAGCUUUGUUAGCAGUAGCAUUGCUAAGAUCUUUUGGCCAUAAGUUGUAUUAGACUUUUUGUAUUUUUUAAUUAUGCCUUCAUUUUUUCUUCAAAGGUACUUUCAAUAUU
Long non-coding RNA from Parus major (Great Tit), 6454 nucleotides. RefSeq lists it as uncharacterized. NCBI's taxonomy places the organism in Eukaryota, Metazoa, Chordata, Aves, Passeriformes, Paridae. The transcript is spliced from 3 exons. The record is from RefSeq and is a predicted model, not a curated record.